This 465-nucleotide long non-coding RNA is filed under the name Salmo salar (Atlantic salmon). Its description in RNAcentral is "lncRNA (ENSSSAG00000120501.1)". The record is from RNAcentral. Lineage: Eukaryota; Metazoa; Chordata; Actinopteri; Salmoniformes; Salmonidae.
CUGAAACGGAGUUUGGAACAUCUGUGCGUCACAACGGGUGUUGGUGAGUCAUGGCUGAAGUCAGAGGCUGGCAUGUGGGGGGAGCUGUCACAGGACUGCUGACAGAUUGGGCUGCAUCCAGGGAUGGACCAUCAUCACAGACCCCCACCACCACCACACAGAGAAUUUGGCAGUACGUCCAACCAGCCUCACAACCGCAGACCAUGUGUAACCACUCCAGUCCAAGACCUCCACAUCCGGCUUCUUCACCUGCGGGAUCGUCUGAGACCAGCCACCCAGACAGCUGUUGAAACUGAGGAGUAUUUCUGUCUGUAAUAAUGCCUUUUUGUGGGGAAAACCUCAUUCUGAUUGGCUGGGUAGGCCUGACUCCCAAGUGGGUGGGGCUAUGCCCUCCCAGGCCCACCCAUGGCUGUGCCCCUGCCCAGUCAUGUGAAAUCCAUAAAUGCUGGCCUAAUGAAUUUAUUU